UACGUACCGUACGAACGUUAUUCGGAAUUACUGGGCUUAAAGGGUUUGUAGGCGGCCUUGUAAGUCAGGUGUGAAAUCCCUCGGCUCAACCGAGGAAUAGCGCUUGAUACUGCAAGGCUUGAGGGAGACAGGGGUAAGCGGAACUGAUGGUGGAGCGGUGAAAUGCGUUGAUAUCAUCAGGAACACCGGUGGCGAAAGCGGCUUACUGGGUCUCUUCUGACGCUGAGGAACGAAAGCUGGGGUAGCGAACGGG
Molecule: ribosomal RNA, 253 nt
Filed under: uncultured bacterium
Lineage: Bacteria
Description: partial 16S ribosomal RNA
Rfam family: Bacterial small subunit ribosomal RNA
Source: RNAcentral